Molecule: long non-coding RNA, 1077 nt
Organism: Bos taurus (domestic cattle)
Lineage: Eukaryota; Metazoa; Chordata; Mammalia; Artiodactyla; Bovidae
Source: Ensembl
GAAAGCUGAGCACUGAAGAAUUGACGCUUUUUCACUGUGGUGUUGGAGAAGACUCUUGAGAGUCCCUUGGACAGCAAGGAAAUCAAACCAGUCUAUCCUAAAGGAAAUCAGUCCUGAAUAUUCAUUGGAAGGACUGGUGCUGAAGCUGCAACUCCAAUACUUUGGCCACCUGAUGCAAAGAACUGAUUCAUUUGAAAAGACCCGGAUGCUGGGAAAGAUUGAACGUGGGAGGAGAAGAGGACAACAGAGGAUGAGAUGGUUGGAUGGCAUCACCAACUCAAUGGACAUAAGAGUUUGAGUAAACUCAGGGAGUUGGUGAUGGACAGGGAGGCCUGGUGUGCUGCAAUCAGUGGGGUCGCAAAGAGUUGAACACAACUGAGUGACUGAACUGAACAAAAUGGCAAUAAGAACAUACAUUUUAAUAAUUAAAUGUAACUGAAUUAAAUGCUCAAACCAAAAGACAUAGACAGGCUGAAUAGAUACACAACAAAACCUGUAUAUAUGCCCUCUAUAAUAGACCCACUUCAGAUCUAUGGACAGAUCUGAAGGCUAAACAAUAUUUAUUAGAUAACCAGUGAUCACUAGAGAAAUCAAAGAGAAAAGCAAAAUAUACCUAGAGACAAAUGACAAUAAAAACAUCAUGACCCCAAACUUAUGGGAUACAGCAAAAGCCAUUCUAAGAGGGAAGUUUAUAGCAAUACCAUCUUACCUCAGGAAACAAGAAAAAUCUCAAAUAAACAUCCUAACUUACACAUAAAGCAACUAGAGAAAGGAGAACAAAACCGAAGUUAGUAGAAGGAGAGCAAUUAUAAAGAUCAGGGAAGACAUAAAAGAAGUAGAAACAAAACAAAUGCAAAAUAUUACAGGCCAGCAUCACUGAUGAACACUGAUGAAACUAAAGGCUAGUUCUUAGAAAAGAUAACAUUGGCAAAAUUCUAGCCAUACUCAUGAAAAAAGAGGGAGAGCAUUCAUAUCAAUAGAAUUAGAAAUGAAAAAAGUUACAGCCAACACCACAGAAAUACAAAGGGAUAUAAGAGACUACUACAAGCAACUAUAUGCCAAUAAAAUGAACAACGU